AGUUAGGAAAUGCAGGUCGGUUAAUACCCAACCUGUUUGACAAAGGCCCCAAAGGAAGCCACGGCUAACUCUGUGCCAGCAGCCGCGGUAAUACAGAGGUGGCAAGCGUUGUUCGGUAUUAUUGGGCGUAAAGAGCACGUAGGUGGUUUUGUAAGUCAGAUGUGAAAGCCUUCUGUUCAAAGGAAGAACGGCAUCUGAAACUGCAGAUCUUGAGUGUAGGAGGGGAGAGUGGAACUUCUGGU
Molecule: ribosomal RNA, 242 nt
Filed under: uncultured anaerobic ammonium-oxidizing bacterium
Lineage: Bacteria
Description: partial 16S ribosomal RNA
Rfam family: Bacterial small subunit ribosomal RNA
Source: RNAcentral